RNAcentral lists this ribosomal RNA (1195 nucleotides) under Streptomyces evansiae. RNAcentral's name for it is "Streptomyces sp. DSM 41979 partial 23S ribosomal RNA". It matches the Rfam family "Bacterial large subunit ribosomal RNA", at positions 1743 to 2925 of the family's 2925-position model. The record is from RNAcentral. Lineage: Bacteria; Bacillati; Actinomycetota; Actinomycetes; Kitasatosporales; Streptomycetaceae.
CCUGGUGAUCACUUUUGCAGUGUGAGCUGGGGGUGGCCGCAGAGACCAGCGAGAAGCGACUGUUUACUAAAAACACAGGUCCGUGCGAAGCCGUAAGGCGAUGUAUACGGACUGACGCCUGCCCGGUGCUGGAACGUUAAGGGGACCGGUUAGCUGACUUUCGGGUUGGCGAAGCUGAGAACUUAAGCGCCAGUAAACGGCGGUGGUAACUAUAACCAUCCUAAGGUAGCGAAAUUCCUUGUCGGGUAAGUUCCGACCUGCACGAAUGGCGUAACGACUUCUCGACUGUCUCAACCAUAGGCCCGGUGAAAUUGCAUUACGAGUAAAGAUGCUCGUUUCGCGCAGCAGGACGGAAAGACCCCGGGACCUUUACUACAGUUUGAUAUUGGUGUUCGGUUCGGCUUGUGUAGGAUAGGUGGGAGACUGUGAAGCGGCCACGCCAGUGGUUGUGGAGUCGUUGUUGAAAUACCACUCUGGUCGUGCUGGAUGUCUAACCCGGGUCCGUGAUCCGGAUCGGGGACAGUGUCUGAUGGGUAGUUUAACUGGGGCGGUUGCCUCCUAAAGAGUAACGGAGGCGCCCAAAGGUUCCCUCAGCCUGGUUGGUAAUCAGGUGGUGAGUGUAAGUGCACAAGGGAGCUUGACUGUGAGACCGACGGGUCGAGCAGGGACGAAAGUCGGGACUAGUGAUCCGGCGGUGGCUUGUGGAAGCGCCGUCGCUCAACGGAUAAAAGGUACCCCGGGGAUAACAGGCUGAUCUUCCCCAAGAGUCCAUAUCGACGGGAUGGUUUGGCACCUCGAUGUCGGCUCGUCGCAUCCUGGGGCUGGAGUCGGUCCCAAGGGUUGGGCUGUUCGCCCAUUAAAGCGGUACGCGAGCUGGGUUUAGAACGUCGUGAGACAGUUCGGUCCCUAUCCGCUGUGCGCGUAGGAAUAUUGAGAAGGGCUGUCCCUAGUACGAGAGGACCGGGACGGACGAACCUCUGGUGUGCCAGUUGUUCUGCCAAGGGCAUGGCUGGUUGGCUACGUUCGGGAGGGAUAACCGCUGAAAGCAUCUAAGCGGGAAGCCUGCUUCGAGAUGAGUAUUCCCACCUCCUUGAGAGGGUAAGGCUCCCAGUAGACGACUGGGUUGAUAGGCCGGAUAUGGAAGCCCUGUAAGGGGUGGAGUUGACCGGUACUAAUAGGCCGAGGGCUUGUCCUC